GCCCGUGUGGCCUAAUGGCUAAGGCGUCUGACUGUAAGUUGGUCAAGUACCCGCGUUCGAAUCGUGCUAAUAAGAAAAAUAGUCUAAGAAGAUUAUCAGAAGAUUCGGAGUUCGACCCUCCGCAUGGGCU
RNAcentral lists this transfer RNA (130 nucleotides) under Fusarium oxysporum. Its description in RNAcentral is "tRNA-Tyr". It matches the Rfam family "tRNA". From Rfam's summary of the family: Transfer RNA (tRNA) molecules are approximately 80 nucleotides in length. RNAcentral also lists the same sequence under 2 other names. Lineage: Eukaryota; Fungi; Ascomycota; Sordariomycetes; Hypocreales; Nectriaceae. The record is from RNAcentral.